Long non-coding RNA from Pan troglodytes (chimpanzee), 1525 nucleotides. RefSeq lists it as uncharacterized. Lineage: Eukaryota; Metazoa; Chordata; Mammalia; Primates; Hominidae. The transcript is spliced from 2 exons. The record is from RefSeq and is a predicted model, not a curated record.
GAUAUGAAUUGAAAGAUGUCAUUCAUGAUCUUUGUUGCCUUUGGUGUAGGUAUGAAUAACAAUAGCAUUUGUGAGGGAAAAGUGAAUAUGUACAUUUUUAUUCAUAAAAUAAAAAAAAUUGCAAACAACCAGUUAAGCCACUGACAAUAUCAGCCUAAAUACAGUAGCUGAAUUAUUUACGUUUUUUUUUUUUUUUUUUUUUGAGAUGGGAUCUCACUCUGUCACCCAGGCUGGAGUGAUUGGCACAAGUGUGGCUCCGCUGCAACCUCCACCUCCCAGGCUGAAGCGAUUCUCCCACCUCAGCCUCCCCAGUAGCUGGGACUACAGCUUGUCCCACUGCAAGGCCUUCAGGGGCAGUAACAGGCAUGGAGCUGCCAUCUCCUAUGAGAGCAACACCUUCUUGUGCAAUACCUUCUGGAGGACCUGCCUGAGGCUGUUCACAGUCAACUUUUUCUUUAAGUAGAAGGAGUACACUCUAAAAUAAAAAGUAUAAUAAAGCCAUAAACCGUAGUCAUUAUUAUCAAGUAUUAUGAACUGUACAUAAUUGUAUGUGCUAUACCUUUAUGACUGACAGCACAGUAGGUUUGUUUACACCAGCAUCACCACAAACACGUGAGUAAUGCAUUGCACUGUGAUGUUAAGAUGGCUACAGUGUCACUGGGCCAUAGGAAUGUUUCAGCUCUACUGUAAUCUUAUGGGGCCACUGCCUAUAUUGACUGAAAUGUCAUCAUGCAAUGCAUGACUGUACUUUAAAUCAUCUCUAGAUUACUUAUAAUACAAUGAAAAUGCUAUGUAAAUAGUUGUUAUACUGUAUUUAGGGAAUAAUGAUAAGAAAAAAAGUCAGUACAUGUUCAGUACAGAUGCAACUGUAGUUUUCUUUUGAAUAUUUUUUAUCUCAGGACGAAGCCCCAAAUGCAGAAUUCAUAGAUACAGAGGGCCAACUGUUCUUGGAAUUUGGGUUGAAAGCUGUUAAAGUUCUUUUCAGCCAAAAAAAAAAAAUGCCUUGUAAUAAAUUGUCAUGUUUGAAAUGUAUCAUGCUUGUUUUGCUCUACAUGGUUUUUUGGUACUACAUAACCGUAGACUUAAGUAUCUUUUUGGUGGAAAUAAAAUAUGAAAUCUCUUUAAUUUUGUUAAUGUUAGGUCUGGUAUUCAUUCCAUUAAGUUCCACUUUAAAGUAUGGAAAAAUGUUAUAAACAUCUGCUUUAAACAAUGAAUGGUACUGCAAUAGUCCUGUAAAAAAAAUGAAUGGCGUAAAGUCCUUCGAAUUUUCAUUUAAAGAAUGGCAUAGCUUUAUAAUACAUUAAGUUUUUAAUAUGCGGAAUGUAUUUAAUAUCCUAAAGCGAUGAAUUGUCUUGGCAUUAUGCUAUCUUAUGAAACACUUUCUUACUCUCACAUUGUGUCUUUAUAGUUUUCAAUAUCAGCAAAACCUCUAAAUAGUCUUAGUUGGGUGUUGUGUAUCAUUGUACAGUAACUGUUAGUACAUGUGGUAGUUCUGAUCCAUGUAAUAAAGUACAUUUGUCAUGUA